CCCUUAGAUGUUCGGGGCUGCGCACGCGCUACACUUGAGGAAACAGCGUGUAUUGACCUGGUCCGAAAGGACUGGGUAAACCUGUGAAACUUCUCCGUGCUUGGGAUAGAACUUUGUAAUUCUGGUUCUUGAACGAGGAAUCCCUAGUAGGCAUUACGUCAUUAGCGUGUGCCGAUUACGUCCCUGCUCUUUGUACACACCGCCCGUCGCUACUACCGAUUGAAUGCCUAGGUGAUGGUUACGGAGGCCGAUGUCCAUCCGGCGCAAAGUUUUCACAACCUAGGUCAUUUAGAGGAAGUAAAAGUCGUAACA
This 312-nucleotide ribosomal RNA is filed under the name uncultured eukaryote. Its description in RNAcentral is "partial 18S ribosomal RNA". It matches the Rfam family "Eukaryotic small subunit ribosomal RNA", at positions 1470 to 1796 of the family's 1831-position model. The record is from RNAcentral.